This 372-nucleotide ribosomal RNA is filed under the name uncultured organism. RNAcentral describes it as "bacterial SSU rRNA". It matches the Rfam family "Bacterial small subunit ribosomal RNA", at positions 526 to 896 of the family's 1533-position model. The record is from RNAcentral.
CGUAGGGUGCGAGCGUUAAUCGGAAUUACUGGGCGUAAAGCGUGCGCAGGCGGUUUGUUAAGAUAGGCGUGAAAUCCCCGGGCUCAACCUGGGAACUGCGCUUAUGACUGGCAAGCUAGAGUACGGCAGAGGGGGGUGGAAUUCCACGUGUAGCAGUGAAAUGCGUAGAGAUGUGGAGGAACACCAAUGGCGAAGGCAGCCCCCUGGGUCGAUACUGACGCUCAUGCACGAAAGCGUGGGUAGCAAACAGGAUUAGAUACCCUGGUAGUCCACGCCCUAAACGAUGUCAACUAGGUGUUGGGAGGGUAAGACCUUUUAGUACCGGAGCUAACGCGUGAAGUUGACCGCCUGGGGAGUACGGCCGCAAGGUUA